RNAcentral lists this unclassified non-coding RNA (24 nucleotides) under Mus musculus (house mouse). RNAcentral's name for it is "oocyte_clustered_small_RNA6157". Lineage: Eukaryota; Metazoa; Chordata; Mammalia; Rodentia; Muridae. The record is from RNAcentral.
UAAAUGCUCCAUGCCUGUAACAUU